GCGGGUGUGGUUCAAUGGUAGAACCGAAGCCUUCCAAGCUUCUGACGCGGGUUCGAUUCCCGUCACCCGCUCCA
RNAcentral lists this transfer RNA (74 nucleotides) under Eggerthellaceae bacterium. RNAcentral's name for it is "tRNA-Gly". It matches the Rfam family "tRNA". Rfam says of the family: Transfer RNA (tRNA) molecules are approximately 80 nucleotides in length. The record is from RNAcentral. Lineage: Bacteria; Bacillati; Actinomycetota; Coriobacteriia; Eggerthellales; Eggerthellaceae. RNAcentral also lists the same sequence under 3 other names.